RNAcentral lists this ribosomal RNA (393 nucleotides) under uncultured bacterium. Its description in RNAcentral is "partial 16S ribosomal RNA". It matches the Rfam family "Bacterial small subunit ribosomal RNA", at positions 523 to 918 of the family's 1533-position model. The record is from RNAcentral.
AUACGGAGGAUGCGAGCGUUAUCCGGAUUUAUUGGGUUUAAAGGGAGCGUAGGUGGGAUAUUAAGUCAGCUGUGAAAGUUUGGGGCUCAACCUUAAAAUUGCAGUUGAUACUGGUUUCCUUGAGUACGGUACAGGUGGGCGGAAUUCGCGGUGUAGCGGUGAAAUGCUUAGAUAUCACGAAGAACUCCGAUCGCGAAGGCAGCUCACCGGGCCGGAACUGACACUGAUGCUCGAAAGUGCGGGUAUCAAACAGGAUUAGAUACCCUGGUAGUCCGCACAGUAAACGAUGAAUACUCGCUGUUUGCGAUGCACUGUAAGCGGCCAAGCGAAAGCGUUAAGUAUUCCACCUGGGGAGUACGCCGGCAACGGUGAAACUCAAAGGAAUUGACGGGG